Molecule: ribosomal RNA, 484 nt
Filed under: uncultured bacterium
Lineage: Bacteria
Description: partial 16S ribosomal RNA
Rfam family: Bacterial small subunit ribosomal RNA
Source: RNAcentral
AGUGAACGCUGGCGGCGUGCUUAACACAUGCAAGUCGAACGAGAACGGAUUAUAGCUUGCUAUAGUUGUCAGCUAAGUGGCGCACGGGUGAGUAAUGUGUAGGUAAUAUGCCUCUUACUAAGGGAUAACAAAUGGAAACGUUUGCUAAUACCUUAUACUCCUUAUUAACAGAAGUUAAUAAGGGAAAGAUUUAUUGGUAAGAGAUUAGCCUGUAUUGUAUCAGUUAGUUGGUGGGGUAAUGGCUUACCAAGACUAUGACACAUAACUGGUUUGAGAGGAUGAUCAGUCACACUGGAACUGAGACACGGUCCAAACUCCUACGGGAGGCAGCAGUGGGGAAUAUUGCACAAUGGACGAAAGUCUGAUGCAGCAACGCCGCGUGGAGGAUGACACAUUUCGGUGCGUAAACUCCUUUUAUAUGAGAAGAUAAUGACGGUAUUAUAUGAAUAAGCACCGGCUAACUCCGUGCCAGCAGCCGCCGUAA